Molecule: ribosomal RNA, 492 nt
Filed under: uncultured bacterium
Lineage: Bacteria
Description: partial 16S ribosomal RNA
Rfam family: Bacterial small subunit ribosomal RNA
Source: RNAcentral
AGUGAACGCUGGCGGUAGGCCUAACACAUGCAAGUCGAACGGCAGCACAGUAAGAGCUCGCUCUUACGGGUGGCGAGUGGCGGACGGGUGAGGAAUACAUCGGAAUCUACUUUUUCGUGGGGGAUAACGUAGGGAAACUUACGCUAAUACCGCAUACGACCUACGGGUGAAAGCAGGGGAUCUUCGGACCUUGCGCGAUUGAAUGAGCCGAUGUCGGAUUAGCUAGUUGGCGGGGUAAAGGCCCACCAAGGCGACGAUCCGUAGCUGGUCUGAGAGGAUGAUCAGCCACACUGGAACUGAGACACGGUCCAGACUCCUACGGGAGGCAGCAGUGGGGAAUAUCGGACAAUGGGCGCAAGCCUGAUCCAGCCAUACCGCGUGGGUGAAGAAGGCCUUCGGGUUGUAAAGCCCUUUUGUUGGGAAAGAAAAGCAGCAGGUUAAUACCCCGCUGUUCUGACGGUACCCAAAGAAUAAGCACCGGCUAACUUCGUG